RNAcentral lists this ribosomal RNA (553 nucleotides) under uncultured Paracoccaceae bacterium. RNAcentral's name for it is "bacterial SSU rRNA". It matches the Rfam family "Bacterial small subunit ribosomal RNA", at positions 540 to 1096 of the family's 1533-position model. The record is from RNAcentral. Lineage: Bacteria; Pseudomonadati; Pseudomonadota; Alphaproteobacteria; Rhodobacterales; Paracoccaceae.
UGUGAUCGGCAUACUGGGCGUAAGCGUACGUAGGCGGAUUAGUCAGUCAGAGGUGAAAUCCCAGGUCUUCAACCCUGGAACUGCCUUUGAUACUGCUAGUCUUGAGUUCGAGAGAGGUGAGUGGAAUUCCAAGUGUAGAGGUGAAAUUCGUAGAUAUUUGGAGGAACACCAGUGGCGAAGGCGGCUCACUGGCUCGAUACUGACGCUGAGGUACGAAAGUGUGGGGAGCGAACAGGAUUAGAUACCCUGGUAGUCCACACCGUACACGAUGAAUGCCAGUCGUCGGGCAGUAUACUGUUCGGUGACACACCUAACGGAUUAAGCAUUCCGCCUGGGGAGUACGGUCGCAAGAUUAAAACUCAAAGGAAUUGACGGGGGCCCGCACAAGGGGUGGAGCAUGUGGUUUAAUUCGAAGCAACGCGCAGAACCUUACCAACCCUUGACAUCCUAUGAGAGCGUGAGAGAUGAGGCUUUCCUUCGGGGACAUAGUGACAGGUGCUGCAUGGCUGUCGUCAGCUCGUGGUCGUGAGAUGUUCGGUUAAAUCCGGCAGAR